UACGGCCAUAUCACAUUGAAGCAUCGGUUCCCGUAGAAUCACCGUAGUUAAGCAACGUCGGGCCUGGUCAGUACUCUGGUGGGUGACUGAUUGAGAUUACAAGUUGCUGUAA
Molecule: non-coding RNA, 112 nt
Organism: Acanthosepion pharaonis
Lineage: Eukaryota; Metazoa; Mollusca; Cephalopoda; Sepiida; Sepiidae
Source: the annotation of a GenBank genome assembly